UACGUAGGGUGCGAGCGUUAAUUGGAAUUACUGGGCGUAAAGUGUGCGCAGGCGGCGCUGCAAGUCGAGUGUGAAAUCCCCGAGCUUAACUUGGGAAUUGCGCUCGAAACUACGGCGCUGGAGUAUGGCAGAGGAAGGUGGAAUUCCACGUGUAGCGGUGAAAUGCGUAGAGAUGUGGAGGAACACCGAUGGCGAAGGCAGCCUUCUGGGCCAAUACUGACGCUCAUGCACGAAAGCGUGGGGAGCAAACAGG
This 253-nucleotide ribosomal RNA is filed under the name uncultured bacterium. RNAcentral's name for it is "partial 16S ribosomal RNA". It matches the Rfam family "Bacterial small subunit ribosomal RNA", at positions 524 to 776 of the family's 1533-position model. The record is from RNAcentral.